This 1007-nucleotide ribosomal RNA is filed under the name human gut metagenome. RNAcentral describes it as "bacterial SSU rRNA". It matches the Rfam family "Bacterial small subunit ribosomal RNA", at positions 344 to 1366 of the family's 1533-position model. The record is from RNAcentral.
GGAGGCAGCAGUGGGGAAUAUUGGGCAAUGGGGGGAACCCUGACCCAGCAACGCCGCGUGGAGGAAGAAGGUUUUCGGUAUGUAAACUCCUGUCCUUGGAGACGAGUAGAAGACGGUAUCCAAGGAGGAAGCCCCGGCUAACUACGUGCCAGCAGCCGCGGUAAUACGUAGGGGGCAAGCGUUGUCCGGAAUAAUUGGGCGUAAAGGGCGCGUAGGCGGCUCGGUAAGUCUGGAGUGAAAGUCCUGCUUUUAAGGUGGGAAUUGCUUUGGAUACUGUCGGGCUUGAGUGCAGGAGAGGUUAGUGGAAUUCCCAGUGUAGCGGUGAAAUGCGUAGAGAUUGGGAGGAACACCAGUGGCGAAGGCGACUAACUGGACUGUAACUGACGCUGAGGCGCGAAAGUGUGGGGAGCAAACAGGAUUAGAUACCCUGGUAGUCCACACUGUAAACGAUGAAUGCUAGGUGUAGGGGGUAUCGACCCCUUCUGUGCCGCAGUCAACACAAUAAGCAUUCCGCCUGGGGAGUACGGCCGCAAGGUUGAAACUCAAAGGAAUUGACGGGGGCCCGCACAAGCAGCGGAGCAUGUGGUUUAAUUCGACGCAACGCGAAGAACCUUACCAGGUCUUGACAUCCACUUAAACUUACAGAGAUGUAAGGUGUGCUUGCACAAAGUGAGACAGGUGGUGCAUGGUUGUCGUCAGCUCGUGUCGUGAGAUGUUGGGUUAAGUCCCGCAACGAGCGCAACCCUUAUCUUCAGUUACUAACGCGUAGAGGUGAGGACUCUGAAGAGACUGCCGGGGACAACUCGGAGGAAGGUGGGGACGACGUCAAAUCAUCAUGCCCCUUAUGACCUGGGCUACACACGUGCUACAAUGGCCACGACAGAGAGAAGCGAAAUCGUAAGGUAGAGCGGAACUCAAAAAAGUGGUCCCAGUUCGGAUUGUGGGCUGCAACCCGCCCACAUGAAGUCGGAGUUGCUAGUAAUCGCGGAUCAGCAUGCCGCGGUGAA